AAUGAACGCUGGCGGCGCGUUUUAAGCAUGCAAGUCGAACGGUAGAGAGACUUCGGUUUCUUGAGAGUGGCGAACGGGUGAGUAACACGUAGAUGAUCUGCCUUGAAGUUGGGGAUAGCCUAUAGAAAUAUGGGGUAAUACCGAAUAAUUUUUUACCACUGUGGUGGUUUAAGGAAAGGGGCUUCGGCCUCGCUUUAAGAUGAGUCUGCGGCUUAUUAGCUAGUUGGUAGGGUAAGAGCCUACCAAGGCGACGAUAAGUAGCCGGCCUGAGAGGGUGACCGGCCACAUUGGGACUGAGACACGGCCCAAACUCCUACGGGAGGCAGCAGCUAAGAAUCUUCCGCAAUGGGCGCAAGCCUGACGGAGCGACGCCGCGUGGACGAAGAAUGCCGAGAGGUUGUAAAGUCCUUUUAUAUGCGAAGAAUAAUGCCUGUAAGUAAUGACAGGCAGAUGACGUUAGCUUAUGAAUAAGCUCCGGCCAAUUACGU
RNAcentral lists this ribosomal RNA (488 nucleotides) under uncultured Spirochaetota bacterium. RNAcentral describes it as "bacterial SSU rRNA". It matches the Rfam family "Bacterial small subunit ribosomal RNA", at positions 29 to 506 of the family's 1533-position model. Lineage: Bacteria; Pseudomonadati; Spirochaetota. The record is from RNAcentral.